UCAGUAACGGCGAGUGACCAGGGAAGAGCCCAACACUGAAGACUGUGGCCAGUUGGCUACUAGUCAAUGUGGUGUUUAGGUUGUUCCGGCGGAGUCGCUGCUCCACCCUAAGUCCAUGAAUGAGUAUGGUAAAUGGACAUGGCCCACAGAGGGUGACAGGCCCGUGGGGGUGGAGGUCAGGCAGGCCAGCGACGCCCUGGAUAGACCUUGGAGUCGGGUUGUUUGUGAUUGCAGCCCAAAGUGGGUGGUAAACUCCAUCUAAGGCUAAAUACUAGCACGAGUCCGAUAGCAAACAAGUACCGUGAGGGAAAGUUGAAAAGUACUUUGAAGAGAGAGUAAACAGUGCGUGAAACCGAUCAGAGGUAAGCGGGUGGAGUUGAACUGCAAGCUCUGAGAAUUCAGCUGGUGAGUGUGGUUUGAGCUUGGUCAAGUCAGUUGGACCCUGUGGUUCGCGAAGCACUUAACAAGUGUUGCGGGCCAUGGGUGUUCUUCGGGCUGACUCGCCGGUGCACUUUCUCAGAGUGGUCACCACGACCGGCAUCGCUGUCUGGCUGGUGGGGUUAAACCGGUUUUGCAAGGUCCUUGUGGCUCUGCUUGAUCGGGAUGGCAGGUAGCUCGUUGGCUUGCUUGCGGGCCUUCGAGUGUAAUCAGCUGACCACAUCGGUUCUGUGCAGUAUGUCGGAGACGGCGGCUAGUGCGCGUGCGUGCAUAGCUGGUCGGCGCGUCCGGGUUUGGUUGUUACGUGCCUGUUCAUUCAGGCCUGAUGAUGGCUCGGAUUCGUUCGGCUGGCUGUUGCGUGCGUGCACAAUACGGGGCCAAUAGUCUGUGGUGUAGUGGUAACUAU
This 844-nucleotide ribosomal RNA is filed under the name Cercaria cristatella. RNAcentral describes it as "partial large subunit ribosomal RNA". It matches the Rfam family "Eukaryotic large subunit ribosomal RNA", at positions 80 to 635 of the family's 3401-position model. The record is from RNAcentral. Lineage: Eukaryota; Metazoa; Platyhelminthes; Trematoda.